ACGGGUUACGAUGAAUCAGUACGGCGAGUGAAGCGGCAAGAGCUCAAAUUUGAAAGCUGGCUCCUUCGGGGUCCGCAUUGUAAUUUGCAGAGGAUGCUUCGGGUGCAGCCCCCGUCUAAGUGCCCUGGAACGGGCCGUCAUAGAGGGUGAGAAUCCCGUAUGGGGCGGGGUGUCUGCGUCCGUGUGAAGCUCCUUCGACGAGUCGAGUUGUUUGGGAAUGCAGCUCUAAAUGGGUGGUAAAUUUCAUCUAAAGCUAAAUACUGGCCGGAGACCGAUAGCGCACAAGUAGAGUGAUCGAAAGAUGAAAAGCACUUUGAAAAGAGAGUUAAACAGCACGUGAAAUUGUUGAAAGGGAAGCGCUUGCAACCAGACUCGCUCGCGGGGUUCAGCCGGGCUUCGGCCCGGUGUACUUCCCCGCGGGCGGGCCAGCGUCGGUUUGGGCGGCCGGUCAAAGGCCUCCGGAAUGUAGCGCCCUUCGGGGCGCCUUAUAGCCGGGGGUGCAAUGCGGCCAGCCUGGACCGAGGAACGCGCUUCGGCACGGACGCUGGCAUAAUGGUUGUAAACGACCCGUCUUGAAACACCGGACCAAGGAUUCUUUUAUUUACGAGCGAGUUCGGUUGUCAAACCGUACGCGCAGUGAAAGCGACGGAGGUGGUAGCCCCCUCGCGGGGCGCACCAUCACCGAUCUUCCGUUUAUUAAAAUGCAAUUUG
Molecule: ribosomal RNA, 711 nt
Filed under: Aspergillus terreus
Lineage: Eukaryota; Fungi; Ascomycota; Eurotiomycetes; Eurotiales; Aspergillaceae
Description: partial large subunit ribosomal RNA
Rfam family: Eukaryotic large subunit ribosomal RNA
Source: RNAcentral